This is a long non-coding RNA of Odocoileus virginianus texanus, 1335 nucleotides long. RefSeq lists it as uncharacterized. NCBI's taxonomy places the organism in Eukaryota, Metazoa, Chordata, Mammalia, Artiodactyla, Cervidae. The record is from RefSeq and is a predicted model, not a curated record.
AACAUACAUCUGCCUGGCAGGGGAUGGGAACAGGAGGAGCUGCAUCCUGUGGAGGGCAGAGCCUGAGAUGGGUCCUGACCGACGGCCACGCUGCAGCAUGGGCACGCAGACUGGAGGGCAGAGCCUGAGAUGGGUCCUGACCGACGGCCACGCUGCAGCAUGGGCACGCAGACUGGAGGGCAGAGCCUGAGAUGGGUCCUGACCGACGGCCAGGCUGCAGCAUGGGCACGCAGACCGGAGGGCAGAGCCUGAGAUGGGUCCUGACCGACGGUCAGGCUGCAGCAUGGGCAGACCAGAGGAGGGAGGUCGCCGUAGAGGAAGAGCCUGACAAGUGGGGGGCCCGAUGCUGGAAAGCUUCGCAUUUGAAGCUUCUCUUCAUAAAAUGCUUGAAAACAGACAAGUCUGGCUGGGACUAGGGGUUAAAAGUAGGCUAGUGCUGGCCAAAAAAAAAAAGAAAGCUGACUCUGGCUGUUUUGUUGAAGGUUUUGAAUGUCAAGGUACAGAUCUAUAUACUUCAUCUGUACUUUUAAUUCAGUAGGCGACCAGAAGUUUCUGAGCAUUGUGAAGUAAAGAAACAUUACUAGAAGAGCACAAAGGGAAGCUGUUCGUGGCAGCAGCAUGUAAAACCCAACAGAGCUGUGAGGAACAAAGGAAGUCAGAAUUCCGAGUACAGAACCUGAGAGCCUGACCUGGGGUGAUGGCACUGGGAACGGAAAGGAGGGAAGAGCUGAAGAGUCAGGGUGGCAGGGAAAGGAUGGAGAUGUAAGCACGAGGGAAGAAGGGUCAGCCAUCCUCAACUCUCGAGUGAAAGGGAAAACGGUGGCCAUUAGCGCAAAACAUUCAAGGAUGCGCUGACCGGAAGGGAAGAUGAAACCUGAAAUGGAGAAAUGGCGUUGAGACGGUGAAAUUCAGGAGACAGGCUGGCACUAGACCUGUAUGUUUGGAUCAAAAGGCGUACAAGUUCCAAUCAAGCCUACUGCCACUUCCACAGUCUACAGGAGGGAUCUGAGAAGACAGAAAGGACAUACUUCAGGUCUUAUUUACACCAAAGGCCUAGAGCCUGUGAUGAAAGAGAGGCUGAGAUAAUAAACUGCUGUGGACACUGAGACAAACUGUUCUGAACAGUAAAGAAAAGACUUCCUUGAACAGAAAGGCUGUUAACAAUGUUAAGAGAUUUUUUUUUUACUUUUGGUGGGGAUGGGAGGGUUGAUGGCUGAAGACAAAAAGUUGAGAGCCUUGGAAGAACAGGAGACAGAGCGAGUACUCCGAUCUGAAAGGGCGCAGGCCUCCGCAGCAAGGUUAGACUGGUCUCAGCGAUACUAUGAAGAAUUAAAA